AUUCUUUUGUGGCUCAUAAGCUUGGGAUUUUCACACUAAACAUUUUAACUCAAGAUUGGGACUUCACACUAAUCUGUGAGAUGUGCCUCCCUCAAACUUUGCUAUAGUAUUGGCACAUUACCCAUCUCACA
Macaca fascicularis (crab-eating macaque) is the source of this 131-nucleotide small nucleolar RNA. The record is from Ensembl. NCBI's taxonomy places the organism in Eukaryota, Metazoa, Chordata, Mammalia, Primates, Cercopithecidae.